This 484-nucleotide ribosomal RNA is filed under the name uncultured bacterium. RNAcentral's name for it is "bacterial SSU rRNA". It matches the Rfam family "Bacterial small subunit ribosomal RNA", at positions 17 to 518 of the family's 1533-position model. The record is from RNAcentral.
UCUGGCUACAGGACGAACGCUGGCGGCACGCUUAACACAUGCAAGUCGAACGAACGGAGAUAGCUUGCUAUCAAAGUUAGUGGCAGACGGGUGAGUAACACGUGAGCAAUCUGCCUCUAAGUGGGGAAUAACGAUUGGAAACGGUCGGUAAUACCGCAUAAUAUAGCGAAACCGCAUGAUUUUGCUAUCAAAGAUUUAUCGCUUAAAGAUGAGCUCGCGUCUGAUUAGCUGGUUGGUGAGGUAACGGCUCACCAAGGCGACGAUCAGUAGCCGGACUGAGAGGUUGAACGGCCACAUUGGGACUGAGACACGGCCCAGACUCCUACGGGAGGCAGCAGUGGGGAAUAUUGCACAAUGGGCGCAAGCCUGAUGCAGCGAUGCCGCGUGAGGGAAGAGGGUUUUCGGAUUGUAAACCUCUGUUGACAGGGACGAUAAUGACGGUACCUGUUCAGAAAGCUCCGGCUAACUACGUGCCAGCCGCCGC